RNAcentral lists this ribosomal RNA (540 nucleotides) under uncultured bacterium. RNAcentral describes it as "bacterial SSU rRNA". It matches the Rfam family "Bacterial small subunit ribosomal RNA", at positions 767 to 1304 of the family's 1533-position model. The record is from RNAcentral.
AGCUAAUAGAUACCCGGGUAGUCCACGCCCUAAACGAUGUCUACUAGUUGUUGGUGGAGUAAAAUCCAUGAGUAAACGCAGCUAAACGCGUGAAGUAGACCGCCUGGGGAGUACGGUCGCAAGAUUAAAACUCAAAGGAAUUGGCGGGGGCCCGCACAAGCGGUGGAUUAUGUGGAUUAAAUUCGAUGCAACGCGAAAAACCUUACCUGGCCUUGACAUGCCACUAACGAAGCAGAGAUGCAUUAGGUGCCCGUAAGGGAAAGUGGACACAGGUGCUGCAUGGCUGUCGUCAGCUCGUGUCGUGAGAUGUUGGGUUAAGUCCCGCAACGAGCGCAACCCUUGCCAUUAAUUGCCAUCAUUUAGUUGGGCACUUUAAUGGGACUGCCGGUGACAAACCGGAGGAAGGUGGGGAUGGCGUCAAGUCCUCAUGGCCCUUACUGGCCAGGGCGUUCACACGUAAUACAAUGGUCGGUACAGAGAGUUGCCAACCCGCGAGGGGAGGCGUAAUCUCAGAAAGCCGAUCGUAGUCCGGAUUGUUCU